UGACUCGUUAGCUUGAAUAAAGAAAAUGGAGUAUUUAUCCGUCAAAACGUGAAAUUUAAUUAGAAUGUUUCCUCGUAUUUGCUUUAUAUAUGCAAUUGGAACCAUGAGAGCCAUUUCUAUAUCCUUUACACUUACUGGUGUCUCUAUAUAUCUUAAAAUAACACCACGCCUUUACUUAAACUAUCUACCAAAAUUCUUGUACACUAUCUACUAAAAUUCUUGUACUCAAUCAAAUUCACUAACAAUGCCAUCGCUGACUUCACCAGUGCCAAGCACUAGCAUAUAAAUGCUGUUCAUUUACUUGGAAGUCAGAAACUAGAACAAUGCUUUCUAAUAAUGGGAAAGAUGAAAAGAAGGAGAUUUGCUAUGAUAUGUUGUUAUCUCCUCCUUGCAAUUAUAAA
This 401-nucleotide unclassified non-coding RNA is filed under the name Hevea brasiliensis (rubber tree). The record is from RNAcentral. Lineage: Eukaryota; Viridiplantae; Streptophyta; Magnoliopsida; Malpighiales; Euphorbiaceae.